RNAcentral lists this ribosomal RNA (242 nucleotides) under uncultured bacterium. RNAcentral describes it as "partial 16S ribosomal RNA". It matches the Rfam family "Bacterial small subunit ribosomal RNA", at positions 524 to 765 of the family's 1533-position model. The record is from RNAcentral.
UACGUAGGGGGCUAGCGUUGUCCGGAAUCAUUGGGCGUAAAGCGCGCGUAGGUGGCUUCGUAAGUCCGUUGUGAAAGUCAAAGGCUCAACCUUUGAAAGCCGAUGGAUACUGUGGAGCUAGAGUACGGAAGAGGCGAGUGGAAUUCCUGGUGUAGCGGUGGAAUGCGCAGAUAUCAGGAGGAACACCAAUAGCGAAGGCAGCUCGCUGGGACGUUACUGACACUGAGGCGCGAAAGCGUGGG